Long non-coding RNA from Oryza sativa Japonica Group (Japanese rice), 569 nucleotides. RefSeq lists it as uncharacterized. The record is from RefSeq and is a predicted model, not a curated record. NCBI's taxonomy places the organism in Eukaryota, Viridiplantae, Streptophyta, Magnoliopsida, Poales, Poaceae.
GGUGUAGCAGCAUUUUGCCCAUAUCAGAAAGAAAGAAGUAGACGGAGAGUAGAGAAAACAAACAAAAUAAGCUCAAAGUUUUGGUUCAUAGCCAUGGAUGGGAGGCAUGUUAUCCUUGGCCUUCUCAUAGCACUUGUGUUCGUUGGCAAUGCUUCUUUUGUUAUUGGAGAAUGCUGGGAAACAACAUCUAGUAGUCCAAUAUGUGUGGGGUUUAUGUGCAAGGCUACUUGCUGGAUUGGUGCAAAAGCAACAAAUGGGAAAGUCAUAGAAGCCACAUGUACUGGAUCAGUGAUCAAGAGCGAGUGUUACUGUCGUUAUUGUGACAAAAACUAGAGUUGAAAUUAUGUUGAACCAGAUGUACCAGAGACAUGUAUCAAAUCCCCAUGUAUGUACUUUACAUUGGGAUGAAACUCUCUAUAGAUGUGAUAUCAAUAAUGGUGAUGCAUGCAUGUGUGUAGUUUGUAUCAGAUGUGAUAAUAUCAAAAUAGAAUACAUGUAAGAGUUGAGUGAGUUGACAUUAUGCUUCUGUGCGACUAGUACUGUUGUGAAAUGUCAUAAGCCAUUUAAGC